UACGUAGGGUGCAAGCGUUGUCCGGAAUUAUUGGGCGUAAAGAGCUCGUAGGCGGUCUGUCGCGUCGGAUGUGAAAAUCCAGGGCUCAACCCUGGACCUGCAUUCGAUACGGGCAGACUAGAGUUCGGUAGGGGAGACUGGAAUUCCUGGUGUAGCGGUGAAAUGCGCAGAUAUCAGGAGGAACACCGGUGGCGAAGGCGGUGGUCUGGGCCGGCACUGACGCUGAGGAGCGAAAGCGUGGGUAGCAAACAGG
Molecule: ribosomal RNA, 253 nt
Filed under: uncultured bacterium
Lineage: Bacteria
Description: partial 16S ribosomal RNA
Rfam family: Bacterial small subunit ribosomal RNA
Source: RNAcentral